AUGGGGACCAGGGGAUGGACGCUCUCCACCUUCCUGGGAUGCUGCACAUGGAUUCUGCACGGGCUGGGGGCUGUUGCUGCUGUCCCUGUCACUACCGAUGGGUCCUUUACUGUGGGGACAGCUUUCCCCAUGACAACAGAGGACAAGUGGCCCCACACUACCCUCACAACAGAGAUGAGCUCCACAGCAGCUGAUGCUGAGACCUUCCCUCCCGGGACUGAGACGGAUCCAGUGACGGUGACAAGCGAACACAGCUCCUCGGUUCCAGCUUCGGUGAAUGGGACCCAGGCUCCUAACACCACUCAGAGUACUGAGGGAAAUUCAGCUGCUCCCAAUAUGGCCACAACUGCUGCUGCCAUCACCGCACAGCACCCUGCUGUCACCCCAGAAGCAGUGCAUGAUGAGCUUGAUGUCCCUCUGGGGACCACCCCUGUCAUUGAGGAUGUCAAGGACAUCCCUGCAAACAGAGGAGACACAGACCUCAAUACUGGCACUACAUCCCUCCCCACCACCUCUCCACUGGCAGUCACCUGGGUGCCAGAGCCAACUGCUGGUGUCACUGUGCUGCUGAGCCAAGGGCUCACCACAGCCCAGGAAGCAGUCGAGGAAGGAGUAAUCCUGCCUGAAGCUAUUCAAGGUGAAGCCAGUGCCAACCCCUCAGGCUCCAGUCCUGAUGCCAGGGAGCUGCUUCCAGCCCAGCAGGAUGGAGCAGUGGGCAGGGUUGAGGGCAUUAACCCAGAGCCAGCAGGAGAAAUGGCCCCAGCUGGUGAGGAAAGUCCUUUGGCUUCAGAAUCUGGAGAUGCAGGAGAUGCAAUAAAUGGUGAAUUCAGCACAGCCAGCCCAUCCAACGUUCCUCCAGAGAGCCCAGCGAUGUCAGGAACAGUAGAAAACCCUGAGAAGUCCUCCCUCCUCCCUGGCCAGGCACUGAGCCCAGACAUUUCACUGACACCAUCCAACGGUGGGGAUGGGCAGGGAGUUCCUGGGGUGUCAUCAGGGCCUUCUGGUUCAGCCUUGUCACCUGCAGCCAGCAGGGCACCAGUGGCACCUGAGGAAACAGAGGACACUGCCACCUCACUGCUGGCCCCAGGGGUUCCCACUGAAGCAGAGACUGACACAGUCUCAGCCACUGCACUGCCCUCAGGUGACAUUGGAGCUGUGGAUCUGGCCAGUCCAUCUCUCCAGCCUGCCCCAUGGCAGACCCACACUGGAGAACAGCCACCGCUGCUUUCUGAUGCUCUGACAUCCUCCACAGACACCCCCAGUGCUCCUGGGGCUGCUUAUCCAGCCCCAGAGGCUGGAGCCAGAGCCCUGCCUGACACUGAUGGUGCAGCAGAGACACCAGCAAGUCCUGACCUCGCUACUGGCCCAGAAGCAGCCGUGUCUCCGUCUCUUGGGGAGUCACAGUCUGCUGGGAUGCUGGCUGGAGCUCCCCAGGAGGCCGAUGGACUUGGCACUGGCUUGAGCUCAGAUUCAGAUGCCCCCAGCCCAGAGCCUUUUGUACCUGAUGGACUGGCGUGGCCCACUGCUGGGAGCCAGGGUCAGGAAGAUCAGGGGGUAGGGGGUACGGCACAGGCAGGAGGUCCAGGGGAUGCCAGUCCCUAUGAAGAUAUCCAGAGUGACAUGAGUGCUCCAGCCCUUCAGCCCUCAGUAUCCCCUGCUGAUAAUGGAGAGCUGCUGACUGCAGGGACAGAAGACUUGGCAAAUGCUGAACUUUCCCCCCCACCAGCACUUGGAGAUGGAACAGAAGGAGCCCCAGCACUGGGACAAGGGUCUUCACCUGGCUCUGCACCUCCCAGCAAUGCUGGAAUGAAGCCUGAUCUCUCAGGAGUUGAAGGAACAGGGGACCUGCCUGGUGAAUCUGCCAGUGCUCCUGAGGCUGUUUUCCCACCCCUGGGGUCUGUGGCUGGCCCAGUGUCUGAGGCAGAGACACCAGUGAGCCCUGACCUCAGUGGUGCCCAGGGAGCACCUGGGUCUCCAUCCUUUGGUGGGUCUCAGCCAUGGGGAACAGCAGCUGGUGCUCCCGUGGGAUCCGGCCUCCCUGGAGGCCAGCAGCAGAAGAGCAUGGAGCCAGCACAGCAGAGCCAGCAGUGGAAGGAGCAGGCAGUGGGAUUGAGUCUGAGCCAUCCCUGA
Parus major (Great Tit) is the source of this 2130-nucleotide long non-coding RNA. NCBI's taxonomy places the organism in Eukaryota, Metazoa, Chordata, Aves, Passeriformes, Paridae. The record is from Ensembl.